This is a non-coding RNA of Equus caballus (horse), 296 nucleotides long. NCBI's taxonomy places the organism in Eukaryota, Metazoa, Chordata, Mammalia, Perissodactyla, Equidae. The record is from Rfam.
GGGUGUAAAGGUCACCUGGCUUUGACAUCUGUUACCUUGUCCAUCACCAGGACUCAUGUGGCUGCUACUGGUUGUCUGUAUCUUCGUCUUCUUACUUUAUCACCUGGUGGUCUCCUUUCCAGAAGUCACACCUUCAGCCAAAGAAACCAAGGGUUUCUGGGAGAGAAGAAGCAUCCUUCACUCAAAGGUGUGGGAGGGAGCAUAGCCAUAUGGCCCUGGAACACAACUAGGAAAAUCACCUGGAAUUUCACCCAGGUGGAUGCUACCACUGCAGCCACAUUUAAAGUCAUGUUUUU